Molecule: ribosomal RNA, 433 nt
Filed under: uncultured bacterium
Lineage: Bacteria
Description: partial 16S ribosomal RNA
Rfam family: Bacterial small subunit ribosomal RNA
Source: RNAcentral
AACGAACGCUGGCGGCAUGCCUAACACAUGCAAGUCGAACGAGACCUUCGGGUCUAGUGGCGCACGGGUGCGUAACGCGUGGGAACCUGCCCUUAGGUUCGGAAUAACUCCCCGAAAGGGGUGCUAAUACCGGAUAAUGUCUUCGGACCAAAGAUUUAUCGCCUUUGGAUGGGCCCGCGUUGGAUUAGCUAGUUGGUAGGGUAAAAGCCUACCAAGGCGACGAUCCAUAGCUGGUCUGAGAGGAUGAUCAGCCACACUGGGACUGAGACACGGCCCAGACUCCUACGGGAGGCAGCAGUGGGGAAUAUAGGACAAUGGGCGAAAGCAUGAUCCAGCAAUGCCGCGUGAGUGAUGAAGGCCUUAGGGUUGUAAAGCUCUUUUAACCGGGAUGAUAAUGACAGUACCGGGAGAAUAAGCACCGGCUAACUACGUG